GACGAACGCUGGCGGCGUGCAUAACACAUGCAAGCCGAGGGGCAGCAUGGGCUUAGCUUGCUAAGCCCGAUGGCGACCGGCGCACGGGUGAGUAACACGUAUCCAACCUUCCGGUAACUCCGGUAUAGCCUUUCGAAAGAAAGAUUAAUCCCGGAUAGUAUGGUGAUUCCGCAUGGUUUCUCCAUUAAAGGAUUCCGGUUACCGAUGGGGAUGCGUUCUAUUGGGCAGUUGGCGGGGUAACGGCCCACCAAACCUACGAUGGAUAGGGGUUCUGAGAGGAAGGUCCCCCACAUUGGAACUGAGACACGGUCCAA
This 314-nucleotide ribosomal RNA is filed under the name uncultured bacterium. RNAcentral's name for it is "bacterial SSU rRNA". It matches the Rfam family "Bacterial small subunit ribosomal RNA", at positions 28 to 334 of the family's 1533-position model. The record is from RNAcentral.